This 265-nucleotide ribosomal RNA is filed under the name uncultured bacterium. RNAcentral's name for it is "partial 16S ribosomal RNA". It matches the Rfam family "Bacterial small subunit ribosomal RNA", at positions 88 to 354 of the family's 1533-position model. The record is from RNAcentral.
CCGGCGACCGGCGCACGGGUGAGUAACACGUAUGCAACCUGCCCUCUUCAGGGGGACAACCUUCCGAAAGGGAGGCUAAUCCCGCGUAUAUCGGUUUCGGGCAUCCGAGAUCGAGGAAAGAUUCAUCGGAAGAGGAUGGGCAUGCGGCGCAUUAGCUAGACGGCGGGGUAACGGCCUACCGUGGCGACGAUGCGUAGGGGUUCUGAGAGGAAGGUCCCCCACACUGGUACUGAGACACGGACCAGACUCCUACGGAAGGCAGCAG